GAUGAACGCUGGCGGCGUGCCUAAUACAUGCAAGUCGAGCGAACAGAUGAGGAGCUUGCUCCUCUGACGUUAGCGGCGGACGGGUGAGUAACACGUGGAUAACCUACCUAUAAGACUGGGAUAACUUCGGGAAACCGGAGCUAAUACCGGAUAAUAUAUUGAACCGCAUGGUUCAAUAGUGAAAGACGGUUUUGCUGUCACUUAUAGAUGGAUCCGCGCCGCAUUAGCUAGUUGGUAAGGUAACGGCUUACCAAGGCAACGAUGCGUAGCCGACCUGAGAGGGUGAUCGGCCACACUUGAACUGAGACACGGUCCAGACUCCUACGGGAGGCAGCAGUAGGGAAUCUUCCGCAAUGGGCGAAAGCCUGACGGAGCAACGCCGCGUGAGUGAUGAAGGUCUUCGGAUCGUAAAACUCUGUUAUUAGGGAAGAACAAAUGUGUAAGUAACUAUGCACGUCUUGACGGUACCUAAUCAGAAAGCCACGGCUAACUACGU
RNAcentral lists this ribosomal RNA (496 nucleotides) under uncultured bacterium. RNAcentral's name for it is "partial 16S ribosomal RNA". It matches the Rfam family "Bacterial small subunit ribosomal RNA", at positions 28 to 506 of the family's 1533-position model. The record is from RNAcentral.